Molecule: transfer RNA, 76 nt
Filed under: Chloroflexota bacterium
Lineage: Bacteria; Bacillati; Chloroflexota
Description: Chloroflexi bacterium tRNA-Glu
Rfam family: tRNA
About the family: Transfer RNA (tRNA) molecules are approximately 80 nucleotides in length. Their secondary structure includes four short double-helical elements and three loops (D, anti-codon, and T loops). Further hydrogen bonds mediate the characteristic L-shaped molecular structure. tRNAs have two regions of fundamental functional importance: the anti-codon, which is responsible for specific mRNA codon recognition, and the 3' end, to which the tRNAs corresponding amino acid is attached (by aminoacyl-tRNA synthetases). tRNAs cope with the degeneracy of the genetic code in two manners: having more than one tRNA (with a specific anti-codon) for a particular amino acid; and 'wobble' base-pairing, i.e. permitting non-standard base-pairing at the 3rd anti-codon position.
Source: RNAcentral
GCCCCCAUCGUCUAGUGGACCAGGACGCAGGCCUUUCAAGCCUGUAACGAGGGCUCGAUUCCCUCUGGGGGUGCCA